This 253-nucleotide ribosomal RNA is filed under the name uncultured bacterium. Its description in RNAcentral is "partial 16S ribosomal RNA". It matches the Rfam family "Bacterial small subunit ribosomal RNA", at positions 524 to 776 of the family's 1533-position model. The record is from RNAcentral.
UACGUAGGGGGCAAGCGUUGUCUGGAAUCAUUGGGCGUAAAGAGCGUGUAGGCGGCCCGAUAAGUCCGCUGUGAAAGUCCAGGGCUCAACCCUGGAAUGCCGGUGGAUACUGUCGGGCUCGAAUCCGGAAGAGGUGAGUGGAAUUCCUGGUGUAGCGGUGAAAUGCGCAGAUAUCAGGAGGAACACCAAUGGCGAAGGCAGCUCACUGGGACGGUAUUGACGCUAAGGCGCGAAAGCGUGGGGAGCGAACAGG